GACGAACGCUGGCGGCGUGCUUAACACAUGCAAGUCGAACGGAAAGGCCCUGCUUUUGUGGGGUGCUCGAGUGGCGAACGGGUGAGUAACACGUGAGUAACCUGCCCUUGACUUUGGGAUAACUUCAGGAAACUGGGGCUAAUACCGGAUAGGAGCUCCUGCUGCAUGGUGGGGGUUGGAAAGUUUCGGCGGUUGGGGAUGGACUCGCGGCGUAUCAGCUUGUUGGUGGGGUAGUGGCUUACCAAGGCUUUGACGGGUAGCCGGCCUGAGAGGGUGACCGGCCACAUUGGGACGGAGAUACGGCCCGGACUCCUACGGGAGGCAGCAGUGGAGAAUAGUGCACAAGGGGCGGAAGCCUGAUGCAGCAACGCCGCGUGGGGGAUGACGGCCUUCGGGUUGUAAUCCGCUUUCGCCUGUGACGAAGCGUGAGUGACGGUAAUGGGUAAAGAAGCACCGGCUAACUACGUG
Molecule: ribosomal RNA, 468 nt
Filed under: uncultured bacterium
Lineage: Bacteria
Description: partial 16S ribosomal RNA
Rfam family: Bacterial small subunit ribosomal RNA
Source: RNAcentral